CCACUGCACUCCAGCCUAGGCAACAGAGUGAGACUCUGUCUCAAAAAAUAAAAAAUAAAUAGAAGGAGACAAUGGCAUUUGUUCUGCUCCAGAGCAAGAGAGUGAUGCCAGGAGGCACAGAUCAAGGGUGUUUGCCGUGGAGUUUAGCGUCCCCAGUGCCGUUAGGAAACCAGGGGACAGCUCUCUUAUGGGAGGCUGUGGCUUGGGACCAGAGGGCUGGGCUAGACCCAGGAGACCCAAUGCCUAGGCCAGGUCUGCUUUUGUGACCCACAGCAAGUUCUCCAGCCUCCCCAGGAGAGGGGACCAUUGUGCAAAGUGUUUUUACCUCCUUCUUGCACUAAAAUUCCUCAUGCUGAGGCCUCAGAAAUACCCGAAGGGUUAAUCUGAGUCCACACCCAUUUGCCUGUCAAAAGGCCCAGGUGCCUCUCCCAGGGCCCUGCCUUACUGCACCCUGGCUGAUAGGACAGACGCCUUCUUUCAGUCACUUUCCAGCCUACACCCCAGUGAACUUGAACCUGGAUGCUGGACUGUUUCCCGCAGGGCGGCCCUGAGCCUGUGUGCUCUGCUCGUCAGCCCCCAGGAGGAAAGCAUCGUGACAAGUGGGUUUGGACUCGGAUGAACCCUUCGGGGGUCAAGCCCACCCCACGGUCUGGCUUUUCCGUGGCCAUGGCCCCGAAUCACCAGACACUGUUCUUCGGGGGUGUCUGUGACGAGGAAGAGGAGGAGAGCCUGUCGGGCGAGUUCUUCAACGAUCUGUACUUCUACGACGCCACCAGGAACCGUUGGUUUGAGGGACAGCUGAAGGGACCCAAGUCUGAAAAGAAGAAACGCAGGCGGGGCAGAAAAGAGGAGCCCGAAGGUGGUAGCAGGCCGGCGUGUGGGGGAGCUGGCACCCAGGGGCCUGUGCAGCUGGUCAAGGAGGUGGUGGCCGAGGAUGGCACCGUGGUCACCAUUAAGCAGGUGCUCACCGCGCCAGGCUCGGCGGGGCAGCCCCGGUCUGAGGACGAAGACAGCCUUGAGGAGGCCGGCAGCCCCGCACCUGGGCCGUGUCCACGCUCCAACGCCAUGCUGGCUGUGAAGCAUGGGGUGCUCUACGUCUAUGGGGGCAUGUUUGAGGCCGGCGACCGCCAGGUCACCCUCAGCGACCUGCACUGCCUGGACCUGCACAGGAUGGAGGCGUGGAAGGCCUUGGUGGAGAUGGACCCAGAAACUCAGGAGUGGCUGGAGGAGACGGACUCGGAAGAGGACAGUGAGGAGGUUGAGGGCGCCGAGGGUGGGGUCGACGACGAAGACAGCGGAGAGGAGAGCGGUGCGGAGGACUGAGAAGAGCCCCUGCCAGGGGCGCCUGGCAAGUGCUGUGCCCACGUCCGCCCAGGACCCAGCCGUGUUGAGUGAAGCUCUUGGGGCCAGCGUGCGUCCUGACGCACAGGAGAGAGCUGAAGGCUGUGACAAACCCUGUGCCCACGCUGCCUCCACUGCCGGGAGACUCAGGGCUGGGGGAGACAUGCCCUGGUCACCACUGCGGAGACUCAGGGCUGGGGGAGACAUGCCCUGGCCACCAGUGGUGAGCCAGCGAGACAGGACCCCACGCGCGCUGACCCGGGGACGCCAUGGAACUCACUCGCGAUUCCUGCACGCGCGCUGACCCGGGGACGCCAUGGAACUCACUCGCGAUUCCUGCUCACAGCACGUUUCCUGCUCGAAAACCAGGAGAGCCUCCACGUGCCGACUAGCUCUGUCCACACAUCCAUUGCGCAGCUCUGCAGCGGAAGGACCUUCAGUAAAGACGCUGGUUUGUAACGAGAGAAGCGUUCCAAAGUGUCACACGACAUUGUUUAUUACUAAAAGGAGCAGAAUUUCUUUUUAAUCUUGACAGUGUUGUUUUCGUAACAGUAUGAUUUAAACUGUUACAUUCAUUUAGGAAAACUUUUUUUCAUUUCAUAAGUAAUCAAGCUAUCUUUCCAGCUUAAAAGCAAAGAAAAAAGGCUCAGGGUAACUUUUUAAACCACUUCAUCAAUAAGAAAAGUUCUCUCUGUCAUUGCACGGCGUGAUUGUACACAGUAUUAGCAAGCAGUUCACAUGCGCCAGGGCCGACUUGGAAGGAAACACAGGUUAACACUGUUUCCUGUCCGAGUUCACAGAGAUGUUUGCAGCAGGCUCAGUUGCUUUGGCAGCUGGAGCGAGGGUGCCUCUUCCGCGUGGCUCCCCUGAGCAGAGAGGCCCCUGUGGUUUUUUUCUCCGCCGGGCUCUGGGGACAGGGUUUCUGUGGAAAUGGCAAAUGGUGCAGAUGAGCAGAGUCCUGCUAGAGAGGUCAGCUCAGCGUCCAGGAGGGGGCGCCUGCCCCCGAGGAGGCCACGGACAUGCCUGGGAAGUUGCUGCCGGAGAAGUGUGCUCUGAUGUGGCUACAUUUGGGGACGCGGGCUCCCCAGAGGCCCAAGCGAGAAAGCCGGGGGUUCCCAGGCUGGGGGUGCAGGACGGGCCAGGCACUGCCCUGCAGGGCCCGCCCCCCUGCCCCUGCACCCUCACACCCAUCUUCCUCUCUCAGCCUGACCCCAGGGCCUGGGAGCCCCCGGCAGACCGGCCCUCCUUGCCAAACAGUGGCUGCCCUUUAUGGACUCGGCGCCUGGCAGAGCCACUGUGGAGGAGGAGUUGGCUGUCAUGGUCAGGGGAGGCAGCCCUUGGGUUGUCAAGGUUGGUGGUCAACGUUGAACCCAUAUCUGCUGGAAUCUCCCGGUCUGUUCCACACACGAUCAUGCGGGAAGCUCUGGGACCCGAAGGCUGUUCUGAUCUCGGGGGUCACAAGUUCUCACAGCAGCCUGGGGUCACCAGGGACCAGACCCGGCGUUAGCCUCUGUAAGGAGCUGCCUGGCUGCUGGGCUGAGCUUUGUUGCAGGCCCAGGAAGAUGACCAAGAAGGACAGAGCAGAGCCCCAUCUACCACUGCUGGGAGGGCCCGAGGGAGCACGUGCACAGCAGAGCCCCAUCCUCCACUCCCUGGGCUCGAAGAGGCUUCCUCGGUGUGGAUGGCAGCUGUUAACGAGCAGUGGUGGUGCAGCUGGAGGCCUCUGUCCCAUGGGGCACAGACGGGAGAAGGAUGGCGGACGGGUGUGCACGCUUGGGAGGACGGGCGGGCGGCAUAGGCCUGAGCAGGUGGCAUGGGCGCACGAGAAGGGUGUGUCUGAGACAGGAUGUUUAUCCCAAAUGCCAGGAGUGGACGAGGCGGACGAGUGGCAGUGAGGUAGGCAUGUGAGGUUGUUGCCUGGCCCACUCUGCCGACCCCAGAAACCCAGCGGCCUGGGCCCAGCACCCGGCUACACAUGGGGUGAGCUCACGCCCACACUGUGGCCUGUGCCCGUCACGGGGCUGCUUGCUUCUCCUAGGCUUGGGAACAAGCUGGCAUGAACGCUGUGGCCGCAUUCACAGCUCAGGCACUUCCACUUUGGGUUUCAUGAAGAAACAGACUUAAAGAGCAUUUGUUCCUAAUGGGUGGGCUGAAGCUUGGGAGGAGCAUUCAGCUUCUCUCCACAGUAUGGCUUCACCUGUUCCUGAGCGCCCUGCUACCCUCUUGCUAACCUGGGUGGCUGAGGUCCUCUGCUUUGGUGGCGUUGACUUCCCGUCUGCAGCCAGCGCCAGGUGCCAGCCCCCGCCUCUGCUCAUCGGGAAGCGCUGGCCUGCAGGUGCUUUGUGGUUGCCACGGACCCUUGUUCUGUCCCUUUCCAGCACCCACCCCCCACGCGCUGUGCAUUCCGUAGUUCAUUUUCAAGGCAGGGGGCACAUGGUGAAAAUACAGCCUGGCUUUUUUUCAACAAAUGCAGCUGCACUCUUCCUUGCUUGUUUUGAAGGCUGAGCCAGCAACCUCCUUGGCACCUGGGGACAGUCGCUUCCUCAGUUUCUGCGUACCGACUGCCUCACCUGACACGCGGCCUGGGCGCGAGAGAAGCCAACCAGGUGCCUGAGUUGACUGACUCCUUCCGCCCUCCAGCUUCCUCCCUCCGCCCUCCAACCUCCUCCCUCCACCCUCCAACCUCCUCCCUCCGCCCUCCAACCUCCUCCCUCUGCCCUGCAACCUCCUCCCCUCUGCCCUCCAACCUCCUCCCUCCGCCCUCCAAUCUCCUCCCUCUGCCCUGCAUCCUCCUCCCCUCCGCCCUCCAACCUCCUCCCUCCGCCCUCCAACCUCCUCCCUCCGCCCUCCAACCUCCUCCCUCCGCCCUCUGCCCUCCUCCCUCUGCCCUCCAGCGUUCUCCCUCCUCCCUCCACCCUGUUUCCUCCCUCCACCUCUUCUCUCCUCCCUCCACCCUCUUCCUUCUACCCUCUUCCCUCUGCCCUCUUCUUCUGCCCUCCUCCCUCCACCCUCUUUCCUCCCUCCUCCCUCCACCCUCUGCCCUCCUCCCUCUACCCCCUGCCCUCCUCCCUCCGCCUUAUCUGGAAUCGGGGUCUUGGUCCUGGGCUGGAGGCAGACCCUGGCCCGGGCGAGGUUAAAGGUACUGCAGGAGGGCGGCAUCAUGAUGUCCUGAAGCUUGUUGCGCCCGGUGCUGUCGGCCGGCUGAAGGCAGAAACAGUCACAGCACCUGCAGCUAUGGAAGGCGACGACUGAAAAUCUAAUAGGCACCUUGAUGUCAAGUUUCCAAGACCAAAGGCAAGAACAGUCAGAUCAAACUUCGGAAGAGUCAGAGAAAGUGAGCAUGACCUAGAGGAGGGAGACGGUCCUUCCGCUGUCUCCUGCAGAGCGUCUGUCGCACGUAUGAGGUGAAAUCCGCACUGUCCCAUGAAGACUGUGAGGGGAGUUGCCACCCGCACACGGCCCAGGAGCGCCAGCAGCUUGGGGACCACCACAGGCCUCAGGGUCUCUUCAGUCCGACGGGUCCAGCUGUCGAUAAAACCUCCCGGGGAAGGAGUAAAGGACAACCAAGAACCUGAACUGCAAAAGUAUGAAAAACAUUUCAUUUCCCUCGAGUUCUCCACACUUUAGGUCUGCAGCGCCUUGGGGGUGACUGAUGGCCCUCCGUGAGACGCGGUGGCCAUGUGCUUCUACAAGUGAAAAGGAGCAAGUGUGGUUAGAGCCUGGAGUAUGGACGUCCCGGGGACCGCUGGCCCAUGGCCUGGCUUGGGGCCUUACAGGGGAGCGAGCUGAGUGAAUGCAGGGGAGGGCCCGUCUUUCUACAGUGUGUAUCUUGUUUUUGAGACAGACUCACUCUGUCGUCCAGGCUGGAGUGCAGUGGCGCGAUCUCUGCUCACUGCAACCUCUGCCUCCCGGGUUCAAGCGAUUCUCCUGCCUCAGCCUCCUCAGUAGCUGGGAUUACAGGCACCUGCCACCACGCCUGGCUAAUUUUUGUAUUUUUUUUUUAGUAGAGAUGGGGUUUCACUAUGUUGGUCAGGCUGGCCUCGAGCUCCUGACCUCAGGUGAUCCACCUGCCUUGGCCUCCCAAAGUGCUGGGAUUACAGGCAUGAGCCACCGCGCCCGGCCCUGCCCUGCUUUUCUACAUCACCACUGUCUUGUCAGUUAGCUCGGCUCAGGCAUUGCAUGCCUGAUCUGUAUCUUUGGGAAUCCUGUGAGGUAAUGGUUCUAGAUCCAAAAGAAUGGAUAAAGAGACUGUUUCAGUUCCCGAAAUUAUCCAGGCACAUUCUGUGCGCUACUGAACUUCAGAAAGCACCAGUCCAUCCAGUGUGCAGAGGCUGGUAAGUAAAACAGGCCAGCCGUGGGCACAGACAGUUUCACCAGAGGCCCCGGGGCAGAGGGUCUUCUCCAGCUCUUCCAGGGCGGGGCUCAUCUGUUCCUGGGCCAGAGGUGGACCUGUCUGCAGGCUUGUAAGGGUGGGGAGACGCCAGCCUGGCCCAUGGGCUGUCCACACCCACCCCCCGCAGACCGCGCUGCUGUCUGCAGGGGAUGCCACCACUUCCUCCUGGCCUCGGGUGCACAGGUGAAACAUGAAGAAGCUAUUGGGGCGGAAAAUGGCUCUCACCAGGCUGCUCUCGGGUUAAUGAAAACUCGUCAAAUUCUCCAUGCAGCAGCAGCCAGCCGGGCACAUGCUGUCCUGCCCUGCCCGACUGUGUGCAGGGAAGCAGGUCCCCUGGGCCUGGGCGGAGGGACUGCGUGCCUGUCAGGGAAGGCCGAGGCUCCGGACAGGCGGGAAGCAGCCUUCUGCUUAAUCACCCCAUGUGGAAACCAAUUAAAGAUUCGAUUCUCUCAGACCCGGGGCAUUUUAGCCUUGGUUGAAUCCUCCUGGAAUUCACAGGGAAGUGGCUUUGCCCUCUGCCCUCGCUGCUGGAAGGCAAGGGGCCGUUCUCGCCUUGGUUUUCUAGGUUGUGUUGCGGCAGGAGCUGACUGCCCCUAGGCCUAGAUCUCUGCACAACUUCGCUCAGGGACACCUGCCUCUGUGCAUGUCUCAUGGUGUGAAUGUGUUUCCUGCUCACAGGUACCGUUUUGUGUCAUGCAGUUACUGGAAUGUACAAAAGCAGCUGUGAUCUUUGUGAGAGCUGCACAGAGCAGGAGUCUGAGAGCUGCACAGAGCAGGAGUCUUUAUUUGGUUCACUUCUGGUCUGCAGCAACCACUUGCUACUAAAAGAUGGAAAAGAUGUACAAAAAUGUCACAGCCCUUUAGAAAGCGACAUUAUCAGAAAUGUAUGACCUUCAGUCCUCCCUCCCUCUCCUAUGCCCCCACCAGACCAGGCGGCGAGAAGGAACAGGGAGUGAACAUGUAACGGAAAACAAUAAAACUGAAUUUAACUGGAA
This is an RNA transcript of Homo sapiens (human), 6729 nucleotides long. It is a transcript of the gene named kelch domain containing 4, with no coding region annotated. Lineage: Eukaryota; Metazoa; Chordata; Mammalia; Primates; Hominidae. The record is from RefSeq and is marked validated. The transcript is spliced from 6 exons.